Molecule: ribosomal RNA, 468 nt
Filed under: uncultured bacterium
Lineage: Bacteria
Description: partial 16S ribosomal RNA
Rfam family: Bacterial small subunit ribosomal RNA (bases 58-468)
Source: RNAcentral
GGGGGGGGGGGGGGGGGGGGGGGGCGGGGGCGGGGCGGGGGGGGGGGCCGGGCGGGGGGGGGGUGCUCGAGUGGCGAGCGGGUGGGUAGCACGUGAGUAACCUGCCCUGGACUUUGGGAUAACUUCAGGAAACUGGGGCUAAUACCGGAUAGGAGCUCCUGCUGCAUGGUGGGGGUUGGAAAGUUUCGGCGGUUGGGGAUGGACUCGCGGCUUAUCAGCUUGUUGGUGGGGUAGUGGCUUACCAAGGCUUUGACGGGUAGCCGGCCUGAGAGGGUGACCGGCCACAUUGGGACUGAGAUACGGCCCAGACUCCUACGGGAGGCAGCAGUGGGGAAUAUUGCACAAUGGGCGGAAGCCUGAUGCAGCAACGCCGCGUGCGGGAUGACGGCCUUCGGGUUGUAAACCGCUUUCGCCUGUGACGAAGCGUGAGUGACGGUAAUGGGUAAAGAAGCACCGGCUAACUACGUG